Molecule: ribosomal RNA, 799 nt
Filed under: uncultured archaeon
Lineage: Archaea
Description: bacterial SSU rRNA
Rfam family: Archaeal small subunit ribosomal RNA
Source: RNAcentral
ACGGCUCAGUAACACGUGGAUAACCUGCCCUUGGGUCCGGCAUAACCCCGGGAAACUGGGGAUAAUACCGGAUAACGCACAUAUGCUGGAAUGCUUUAUGCGUAAAAUGGAUUCGUCUGCCCAAGGAUGGGUCUGCGGCCUAUCAGGUAGUAGUGGGUGUAAUGUACCUACUAGCCAACAACGGGUACGGGUUGUGAGAGCAAGAGCCCGGAGAUGGAUUCUGAGACAUGAAUCCAGGCCCUACGGGGCGCAGCAGGCGCGAAAACUUUACAAUGCGGGAAACCGUGAUAAGGGGACACCGAGUGCCAGCAUCAUAUGCUGGCUGUCCGGGUGUGUAAAAUACACCUGUCAGCAAGGGCCGGGCAAGACCGGUGCCAGCCGCCGCGGUAACACCGGCGGCCCGAGUGGUGAUCGUGAUUAUUGGGUCUAAAGGGUCCGUAGCCGGUUUGGUCAGUCCUCCGGGAAAUCUGACGGCUCAACCGUUAGGCUUUCGGGGGAUACUGCCAGGCUUGGAACCGGGAGAGGUAAGAGGUACUACAGGGGUAGGAGUGAAAUCUUGUAAUCCCUGUGGGACCACCUGUGGCGAAGGCGUCUUACCAGAACGGGUUCGACGGUGAGGGACGAAAGCUGGGGGCACGAACCGGAUUAGAUACCCGGGUAGUCCCAGCCGUAAACGAUGCUCGCUAGGUGUCAGGCAUGGCGCGACCGUGUUUGGUGCCGCAGGGAAGCCGUGAAGCGAGCCACCUGGGAAGUACGGCCGCAAGGCUGAAACUUAAAGGAAUUGGGCGGGGGAGCACAA